AUUCGAUAUUAAUCAGUUGGUACUUACAACUAAGUAUUUACAUCAGUUUGUGUUUUAGUGACAACAGGAUUAACAAAUUGAAUCGUUUGACAAAUCAGAACCAUGAGCAAAUUAAAAGAAAUCACCGGUUACAAUAUGCAGAAGAAACAAGUUAUGAGGUUCGUCAAUCUUGACCAGUUAAAUAUGCCACCGGUGGAUCAGUUAUAUGAGCUAUGUUUCGUCGAUCACAAUGGCAAACCUUAUGUCUUUAGGAGAUUAAAACCCGAAGUUGCAGAUGAUAACUUGGACAAACUCAACUGCGAAAGUUUAUCUAUAGAUUUAAAUGACAUCAAAGAAAUUUUUAUCAAAUUAACAGAUGACCAACGAAAUAUUGUGAUGCACGUGUAUUACAUGUACAGAAAUAACAAGAAAUGUACCUAUGAGAAUGAUUCUGGGGAGGUUUGUGAAGAAAACCCAAAAAUUAUAUUGCAGGGACCGGCGGGCACCGGUAAAAGUACUAUCAUAAAUUUUAUUGAGAAAUUGAUAACGUGGGAAGAGAACAAAACAUCUGAUGCACCAAAUAAUUUAAAAGUAAUAAAAUGUGCGUUCACUGGGAAAGCUGCUUCUAAUAUUGAAGGUUUCACUUUAAAUUAUACUUUUUCAAUUCCUAUUUAUAAAACAACAAGACUUUCUAAAAAACGAAUAGAAUCUAAAAAAGAAUUAUUUAAAGACUGCAUAUUUUUUAUUUGCGAUGAAAUUUCAAUGGUUGGUGAGAGAACUAUGAGUGCAGUUAACUUGCGUUUGCAACAAAUAUUUGAUAACGAUAAAUUGUAUGGAGACAGGUUUGUCUUAUUAGUUGGUGAUUUAUACCAAAUUGAUCCAGUUAGACAACGUCCAGUUUACCCUCAAUCUAAAUUAUGGACAUGUUGUGAGUUUUAUGAAUUAACAAAGAUCAUAAGACAGCAAGAUGAAAAGUUCAUUACAGCAUUAAACAAUUUUAGAGAUUCUAAAAUGACUGAAGAAGAUAUCAAUUUGUUGAGAUCUAGAGAAAUUGAAGACUACGAUCAAGUACCAGAAUCAGUUAUUCACAUUUUUUAUCAGAAUAAAUAUGUUGAUGAGUAUAACAAUUUGAAAUUAAAUAAGUCCACUGAAAAAGAAGAAAUCGUUAACGCGGUUGAAGAUUCUGAAAACUGGAAUCCAUCUCAUUUACGUGUAAAAAUUGGUAUACGUUAUAUGAUAACAAAUAAUAUCGAUGUAGGUGAUAGCUUAGCAAAUGGUACAACUGGAAUAGUCAAAGAUUUUGAUUAUGAUAAAGACGGUGUAUCUGCAAUUUGGAUGGAAUUCCAUUCCAGCCAGAUUGGUAAAAAACUGAGGUCCGACUAUUUGAAGAUGCAUAAUAAGUCAGGUUUUGAUAACUGGGUUCCCAUACCGCGAUCAAAGAUAGUCGUUAAAUUGAUAUCAGAUCCAAAAGUUAGCAAGACUGUCGGUAAUAUGUUUCCUUUGAAAGCAGCCGAGGCUAUAACUGUUCACAAAAGUCAAGGUCAGACUUAUCAUGAGGGUGUCUGUAUACACAUUCAAGAAGAUGCGUAUGAUAAAUUACGUACUGACAAGAGUUUGCAAUAUGUUGCACUAACACGUGUUAAACGUCUUGAAGAUUUAUACAUUAUGGGGAAGUUAAAUUUUUCUUUAAUGAACAGUGCUAAAUUUAAUCGCACCGAACAAGAAAUAAACAGACUGCGGAAUGAAAAGAAACUUAAAUUAGCAUAUGAAACCUUUGAGGAUAAUACUGGGGAUGUUAUAAUUUAUUUAAAUACGGGAUUAACAUUUAACGAACAUUACCAAUUCGUUACUAGUGACAAAUGGUACGACAAUGCUUCGCUACUAAUAUUUUCAGAAACAAACACUAUAGGAUCGGAUAUAAUUGAAAUACCAAAUUUUGAGAUAGCUUUUCGUUCAGAUAAUGAUACCGCUUUGAGGUCAGGUGGGGGAAUAAUUUGCUAUAAAAAGGAAAAUAAAUUGAUAGAUGUUAUUAGUUCCAUGUUAGAUGACGAAAACAAAAUGUAUUUGACAUUAUUUUCAUACGAGAAUUCUUUAUACAUUGUAACAGGUGUAAAAGGAGACUUAAGUGACGAUGAUUUUAUUGAAGCAAUCAAAAAUUUUAUACUUAAGUAUGUACGAAAUGAAAAAUGUAUAUUUCUCGUUGGAAAUAUUAUUAUGUCACCUUCAUUAAUCAAUUUUUUUAAUAAUUUUAACAUAAAUACGGAAUUAUCGUGCAGCAUUUCAAAUGAGGAAACCAAGUGUGAUGUAGUGCUUUCCCGAAAUAUUAGAAUUAACAGGGAUCAAAUGGGAUUCUAUCAGUACAUACCCGCACCUCAUCAGCCAAUUUUCGUCAAGUUACCUCCUAAGUGCGAAUUGUCAGAGAGUCAUGGUGACUCUCAAUCUUAUUACAGCCAGUCUCAAACCUCGACUGAUGAAUCUCGAUCUGUGAUCAGCGAGUCUCAAGACUCUCAAGGCACGUAUAGUGAGACUCAAUCGGAAAAUAGUCAGACUAGUAGCUCACAGCCUUGGUCCCAACCCAUGGAAAUGGAUAAUUUUUAAAAUUCUUACAAAUUGUGAUUUGUGAUUAGAUAAUUCUGAAAGUUAUUUAAUUUUUAGCUUUUAAAUUAAUUUUUACCUAGCUCUGUGUUUAUUGUUUUGUUAGAAAUAUGAAAAAAGACGAAUUCAAGGAAUUUGAUUACCUCACUUGAGGUUCGGCCAAACUAACGCGUGCAGCCCCUGCGCCUGCGAUGGCGACGGCGAUCAGUAGAAAUUAGUAGGAUCGCCAUCGCCAUCGUGCUUCGUUGCAUAGGUAUAAUAAAAAUCUUGAAGAUAUAAACUGCAUAAAAAGUGUAGAGUGAAUAGUUUAUAAAUAUAUUUAGAUUAAAUAGUUAGUAACCAAAAUCAGAGCAUUUGAUUCUUCGAUGACGAAAAAGCUGUGUAUUUAUUUGAAGCGCAUGGAAUGUUGGAUCUAAAGGAAGACUGGCGUUUGGCGUUGGCAUAACGGAAUCCCGCCUCCCGUUUAUGCGAAUUCAAAUUAUACGGAACAGCGAAUGAUUCGAAUACUUUUAUUUACGCUAUUUUGUGUCAAAUAAUGUUUAAUUUACGAGGGUUUCGGAUUCCCGACAUUUAUUACGAUCAGCGGAGGAUUAAAUUUCAAUAUACGAGCCAUUUAUACAGCAUCUAAGCUUCUUUUGCGCGCUGUGAUAAGUUGUCUAUCACAUAAAGGCGAAAGAUAAAAUACCUACUAUUUUUAUCGUUUUACCAGUGUAGACGGACUUAAUAAUAUUAUCAACUAUUAUUGUAUUAUUAUUUAACUGAAUCCAAAUGUAUCUAGGUUAAGUUUUGUUAAAAGUAAUAAAUGUAUUUUUAUCAAUUAAAUUAAUAUUAUUAUGUGUAGGUACUCUUAUAAUAAAAUAGAUAAGUCGUAGUCAAUAUACUAUUAGUGAUAGAGCCUGGCUAUAAAAUAAGAAUAAAUAAAAUUAACUACAACUGUCAA
Long non-coding RNA from Ostrinia nubilalis (European corn borer), 3514 nucleotides. RefSeq lists it as uncharacterized. The record is from RefSeq and is a predicted model, not a curated record. The transcript is spliced from 4 exons. Lineage: Eukaryota; Metazoa; Arthropoda; Insecta; Lepidoptera; Crambidae.